AUUGAACGCUGGCGGCGUGCCUAAUACAUGCAAGUAGAACGAGUUGCGAACGGGUGAGUAACGCGUGGUAACCUGCCUCAUUGCGGGGGAUAACUAUUUGAAACGAUAGCUAAUACCCCCUACCAUCAGAUGUUCCCCGAUGGGAUUAGCUUGUUGGUGGGGUAACGGCUCACCAAGGCGACGAUCCCUAGCUGGUCUGAGAGGAUGACCAGCCACACGGGAACUGAGACACGGUCCAGACUCCUACGGGAGGCAGCAGUGGGGAAUAUUGCACAAUGGGCGCAAGCCUGAUGCAGCCAUGCCGCGUGUAUGAAGAAGGCCUUCGGGUUGUAAAGUACUUUCAGCGGGGAGGCGUUACCCGCAGAAGAAGCACCGGCUAACUCCGUGCCAGCAGCCGCGGUAAUAC
Molecule: ribosomal RNA, 406 nt
Filed under: uncultured bacterium
Lineage: Bacteria
Description: partial 16S ribosomal RNA
Rfam family: Bacterial small subunit ribosomal RNA
Source: RNAcentral